This 103-nucleotide microRNA precursor is filed under the name Marmota monax (woodchuck). Lineage: Eukaryota; Metazoa; Chordata; Mammalia; Rodentia; Sciuridae. The record is from RNAcentral.
AGUGGGAUAGCUGGGUAAAGUGGUGGUUCCAUUCCAAGUUUUCUGAGGAAUCUCCAUACUACUUUCCAUAGUGGUUAUACCAAUUUGGAGUCCCAUCGGCAAU